Molecule: RNA transcript, 2374 nt
Organism: Gambusia affinis (western mosquitofish)
Lineage: Eukaryota; Metazoa; Chordata; Actinopteri; Cyprinodontiformes; Poeciliidae
Gene: arf6b
Gene name: ADP-ribosylation factor 6b
Exons: 2
Source: RefSeq, a predicted model, not a curated record
UACAAUGUAAACCUAAUCCCUGAAAAACUUAAAUUUGCUUGUAAACCAAUAGAAAUAAAUGCUCUAAAAACAUAUCUUCUGGAUGUGAGCUGUACUUAUUGAAAGGAAUUACCAAAAUAUAACUUUUUUGUCGUCAUAAUAUUCAUUGUGUGAGUGUGGCAUGUAAAGAAGCGUCUGACAGACGGAGGCGGAAUCGAGGGCUGUCAGCUGAAUGGAGCCGACAGGAGGAAGUGGCCCCUGAUGCAGUUCCACACCUUUCCGUUAUAGCAGCGGUAGUGCGGAUAGCUCCGGUUAAAGGAGGAAGGCAAGAGCUGAGUCAAUUUAUCGAGUCUGAAGGACAAAAACAGCGUGACCAGAGUUUCGCGUACGGGGUAUUUCUGGCCACGGACAAACAGGGAUAUAUUUUACGAAGUUAUUCCCUAGUAGCGCGGUGAAGUGUCCCGACGUAAAGCUCAUGUUUCUCUCCCCCCGACAGCAGUGGAGAGAACAAGGGCGCACCCGGUGAGGAGGACCGCCACAUCCUAACACCAGAGGAAAUUCUCUUCAAGUAUCGCGGCUUUUGUUGGAGGUCCUUUUUACCCACACAGUGAAUCUUCUCUGCAGUUUCCAGUCAUCGCGGCCUGUACCUUUAUCUUCAUUUUUACUGAACAAUGAACGACCUGCAACAGCUACUGCCAAGUUCUUAGUCUGAUCGUGUCAUGUUGCGUGUAGGCCAAGAAGACAUUAUCUGAAUAUAAAUGCCCCUGCAUUUAACAAGAUCCAGACAGACUUUCAGGUGAAAAGUCAAGCAUGUGUGUAUAUUUUUGACUUUUGUUCCCAAGUAAACAAAAUAUCCAUUCACUUCAUGGUUUCACUAGUAAGUCUAUAUUGAACUGUGAGCUGCAUUCCAAGUGACCAUCAAAACAUUAUCAUAUUUUCUCCUUGGGAACAAAGUAUUUAUGCUCAAGAGUUCAAAAUGGGGAAAAUGCUGUCAAAAAUCUUCGGCAACAAGGAGAUGAGAAUACUAAUGCUUGGACUUGAUGCUGCUGGAAAAACAACAAUCCUAUACAAACUGAAACUGGGACAGUCUGUGACCACAAUCCCCACAGUUGGCUUCAACGUGGAAACUGUCACUUACAAAAAUGUCAAGUUCAACGUCUGGGACGUAGGAGGCCAGGACAAAAUCCGUCCCCUGUGGCGACACUACUACACAGGGACCCAGGGCUUAAUUUUUGUGGUGGAUUGCGCAGACAGGGAUCGCAUUGACGAAGCGAGACAGGAACUUCAUCGCAUCAUCAAUGACCGCGAGAUGAGAGAUGCCAUGAUCUUGAUAUUUGCCAAUAAGCAAGACCUUCCAGAUGCCAUGAAGCCACAUGAAAUCCAAGAGAAGCUCGGAUUGACCCGAAUCAGAGAUAGGAAUUGGUAUGUUCAGCCCUCCUGUGCGACCACAGGUGAUGGACUGUAUGAGGGUCUGACAUGGUUAACUUCAAAUUACAAGUCUUAAUGAUUGGGUGCUGACUGUUUUAGGUCAAAACUACAAUGUUGCAAGUAACAAUUUACUCUUCAAAAUGAGAAUGCUUAAAAAAAGUUGAUUAUCUCAAUUUAUUUUUAUUACAUUUAUCUUUUGACUAAUUUAUCUUUAACUGGGUUUGCCGGUUUAAAGUUUGCUUAUGUUCUGUAGCAGGCAUAUAUCACAUUCUUUAUUGCUUGGGCUUUUUGAGAUAAAAAAUGGGGUUAACUGGUUUCUAAGGUCAAAGCCACAGAGAUCACCACCUUUGCCUGUUCUUUUGUUUCUAUUUUCUAUCUUAUUUCUCUUGAGGACAUUCAUGGAUUUGAGAUGUUUCACAGUCCUUUUGACUCUCUUGGGAUAAACUUUGACAUUGAGCUCUUUACUUGUCAUGUAGCCUACUUGAAGGACACAGUACUGUGAUUUAUAGUUUUCCUUCUCUGGUAUUAAAAAGAACUGGGGUAAAUGCAAGAAAAAUAAAACAUUGCCCAUGUUUACAUGUCGCAACACAUUUUCUUACCCCAAAUACAAUUACGUGGGCUUUUCUAGUUAACUGAUUGACCUAUGUCAUGUCUCACUAUAAUGUGCAGAGUAUUAAACAAACAGGCCAUCAAUAACCUCAGCUCUGACCUCACAAUCUGAUACGACAGCUGAAAAGUCUCAGUAUUGGGACAUUAUAUGAUAGCUUAUAUCUGUAGCAUGAGUACAUAAGUACAUUAACCCAACAUCAGAGUCCAUUUGUUGGCACAGUCAGAACAGAAAGCUGUUAAGAAGUGAGAUGUUGAACAACAGCCUGUGGUGCAGGGCCUAUUUCUUAUUUGACUGGGGGAACUAUGUACAGAACAAUGUCAUUGUAAUGUCUUAUUAAAAAAGUGAUUUUAAAUCUUA